AGAGUUUGAUCAUGGCUCAGAUUGAACGCUGGCGGCAUGCCUUACACAUGCAAGUCGAACGGCACGGCGGGAGCAAUCCUGGCGGCGAGUGGCGAACGGGUGAGUAAUACAUCGGAACGUGUCCUGUAGUGGGGGAUAGCCCGGCGAAAGCCGGAUUAAUACCGCAUACGCUCUACGGAGAAAGGGGGGAUCUUAGGACCUCUCGCUGCAGGGGCGGCCGAUGGCGGAUUAGCUAGUUGGUGGGGAAAAGGCCUACCAAGGCGACGAUCCGUAGCUGGUCUGAGAGGACGACCAGCCACACUGGGACUGAGACACGGCCCAGACUCCUACGGGAGGCAGCAGUGGGGAAUUUUGGACAAUGGGGGCAACCCUGAUCCAGCAAUGCCGCGUGUGUGAAGAAGGCCUUCGGGUUGUAAAGCACUUUUUCCGGAAAGAAAUCAUCCUGGUUAAUACCUGGGGUGGAUGACGGUACCGGAAGAAUAAGCACCGGCUGCU
Molecule: ribosomal RNA, 495 nt
Filed under: uncultured Burkholderiaceae bacterium
Lineage: Bacteria; Pseudomonadati; Pseudomonadota; Betaproteobacteria; Burkholderiales; Burkholderiaceae
Description: bacterial SSU rRNA
Rfam family: Bacterial small subunit ribosomal RNA
Source: RNAcentral